Molecule: long non-coding RNA, 322 nt
Organism: Corapipo altera (White-ruffed manakin)
Lineage: Eukaryota; Metazoa; Chordata; Aves; Passeriformes; Pipridae
Exons: 3
Source: RefSeq, a predicted model, not a curated record
GAUGAAGUCAAUCUUCAAGUGUGCCACUGGUGUUUGAAAUGUAUUCAUUAAACAAAGGAACUGCAGGAACUGAAAACCUGCUGCCCAUGGAGAAUUGCCUCUGGGGAUACCUGACCACUAAAUAUGACAGCUGUGGAAAUAGAAAGGAUGAAAAUUAGCCACAAAGGAAAUAAGCAACUUGCCCAAGAAUGUACAGUAAAUCUAUAGAAGCCCCAAAAACUGAAUCGAAAUCUACGAAGCACUGAAAUCCUACUAACCCUACAACAUACCCUUUCUUUUGGAUUGAAUAUCACAAAUAAAUGUACAAUUUUACAAUCAGUAA